AUUAGCCAUGCUAGUCGCGCGGGUUCAGACCCGCGGCGAAUAGCUCCGUAACACGUGGUCAAGCUACCCUGCAGAGGAGGACACCCUCGGGAAACUGAGACUAAUACUCCAUAACGCUUCACACCUGGAAUGGUCGAAGCCGGAAACGCCCCGGCGCUGCAGGAUGUGACUGCGGCCGAUUAGGUAGACGGUGGGGUAACGGCCCACCGUGCCGAUAAUCGGUACGGGUUGUGAGAGCAAGAGCCCGGAGACGGAAUCUGAGACAAGAUUCCGGGCCCUACGGGGCGCAGCAGGCGCGAAACCUUUACACUGCACGCACGUGCGAUAAGGGGACCCCGAGUGCGAGGGCAUACAGUCCUCGCUUUUGAGAACCGUAAGGCGGUUCUCGAAUAAGAGCUGGGCAAGACCGGUGCCAGCCGCCGCGGUAAUACCGGCAGCUCAAGUGAUGGCCGAUCUUAUUGGGCCUAAAGCGUCCGUAGCUGGUCGCGUCGGUUCGUCGGGAAAUCCACCUGCUCAACAGGUGGGCGUCCGGCGAAUACCACGUGACUUGGAACCGGAAGGCCCGAGGGGUACGUCCGGGGUAGGAGUGAAAUCCCGUAAUCCUGGACGGACCACCGAUGGCGAAAGCACCUCGGGAGAACGGAUUCGACAGUGAGGGACGAAAGCUGGGGUCUCGAACCGGAUUAGAUACCCGGGUAGUCCCAGCCGUAAACGAUGCCUGUUAGGUGUGGCACCCGCUACGAGCGGGUGCUGUGCCGUAGGGAAGCCGCUAAACAGGCCGCCUGGGAAGUACGUCCGCAAGGAUGAAACUUAAAGGAAUUGGCGGGGGAGCACUACAACCGGAGGAGCCUGCGGUUUAAUUGGACUCAACGCCGGACAUUUCACCAGCUCCGACAGUAGCAAUGAUGGCCAGGUUGAUGACCUCCGCCGCGAGCUACUGAGAGGAGGUGCAUGGCCGCCGUCAGCUCGUACCGUGAGGCGUCCUGUUAAGUCAGGCAACGAGCGAGACCCGUGUCCCUAAUUGCCAGCAUGACCCACGCGGUUGAUGGGUACAUUAGGGAGACUGCCGCCGCCAAGGCGGAGGAAGGAACGGGCAACGGUAGGUCAGUAUGCCCCGAAUGAGCUGGGCUACACGCGGGCUACAAUGGCCGAGACAAUGGGUUCCCACUCCGAAAGGAGACGGCAAUCUCAGAAACUCGGUCGUAGUUCGGAUUGCGGACUGAAACUCGUCCGCAUGAAGCUGGAUUCGGUAGUAGUCGCCUUUCAGAAGAGGGCGGCGAAUACGUCCCUGCUCCUUGCACACACCGCCCGUCAAAGCACCCGAGUGGGGUCCGGAUGAGGCCCAGUUCCUGGGUCGAAUCUGGGCUCCGCAAGGGGGCUAAGUCGUA
RNAcentral lists this ribosomal RNA (1388 nucleotides) under Halobium sp. Its description in RNAcentral is "bacterial SSU rRNA". It matches the Rfam family "Archaeal small subunit ribosomal RNA". Lineage: Archaea; Methanobacteriati; Methanobacteriota; Halobacteria; Halobacteriales; Haloferacaceae. The record is from RNAcentral.